Molecule: long non-coding RNA, 762 nt
Filed under: Strongylocentrotus purpuratus (purple sea urchin)
Lineage: Eukaryota; Metazoa; Echinodermata; Echinoidea; Camarodonta; Strongylocentrotidae
Description: uncharacterized LOC115927482
Source: RNAcentral
AGAGAUAUAUACUUAAUAACACUAGAGGGCGUACUCGCUCAAAUUGCUGUGUGGACCUGGAGCUGUGGCCGCCAUUACUAAGGAGGGCAGAAAAACGAACGACCCAACAAGAUACUGUGCACAACUUACGUGGAAAAAAUUGGAGAAGCCAGGUUCGUGCGUUGCAUUUGGAUGUUCGAACCGAAGAAAGAAAGGGAACUGCAUAAUAUUUCACAAGAAUACACCCAAGAGAGGAAAGGAUGUUACACACCACAUCUCAUUCUUAGAGCUGUGCCUACUGUCUUUCCUGGACAUCCUCCCUAUAAACAGACCCAUGGCUCAAGACUCCCAGCAAAACCAUGUACAACAUCCAAAAGUGUUCCCGUGCCUCCAAAGAAACCCUAUGACAUUACAAAAGAACAUGACUAUUCUUUUUCUGUCUGAGUUGAUUAGAAACUGAAUAUAACCAGACAGCAAGUGCAAGAUGCCAAGAAACAGCUUAAAGUGGUGAAACAAGGUAAACAGGAGAGAUGGAAAAACCAGGACUCUCUUGCAGGAAGUCCACAAAAGCAAGCUCAUUAGCCAGGAUCAGCUUGACCUACUUCAACACAACUUUGGAGAGAACGCAUUUUCAAGAAAAACAAAACAAAACAUAGAACUUCAUUCGUACAAACUACAAAGACAGAUCGGUCUUUUAUAUUUUGCCUCUUGUCUGCAUAGCUUAUCCACUGGAUGAUUGACUGUGAAGCCGUUUAAAACUGGAGAGAGCUUUCAAUAAUCUUU